AAGGGUAGAGCUCAGUGGUAGAGUACAUGCUUAGCAUGCACGAGGUCCUGGGUUCGAGCCUCAGUACCUCUG
This 72-nucleotide transfer RNA is filed under the name Camelus bactrianus (Bactrian camel). It matches the Rfam family "tRNA". From Rfam's summary of the family: Transfer RNA (tRNA) molecules are approximately 80 nucleotides in length. Lineage: Eukaryota; Metazoa; Chordata; Mammalia; Artiodactyla; Camelidae. The record is from Rfam by way of RNAcentral. RNAcentral also lists the same sequence under 2 other names.